AAUAGAUACCCUGGUAGUCCACGCCCUAAACGAUGGAUACUCGACAUACGUGAUAUGACUAUGUGUGUCUGAGCGAAAGCAUUAAGUAUCCCACCUGGGAAGUACGACCGCAAGGUUGAAACUCAAAGGAAUUGGCGGGGGUCCGCACAAGCGGUGAAGCAUGUGGUUUAAUUCGAUGAUACGCGAGGAACCUUACCUGGGCUAGAAUGCAGUCUGACCGUGGGUGAAAGCUCAUUUUGUCGCAAGGCACACGAGGUAUAAGGGUGCUGCAUGGCUGUCGUCAGCUCGUGCCGUGAGGUGUUGGGUUAAGUCCCGCAACGAGCGCAACCCCCAUCAGUAGUUGCCAUCAGGUAACGCUGGGAACUCUACUGAAACUGCCGUCGUAAGACGUGAGGAAGGAGGGGAUGAUGUCAAGUCAUCAUGGCCUUUAUGCCCAGGGCUACACACGUGCUACAAUGGGGCGUAACAAAGGGCUGCCGACUUAGGCGAUAAGGAGCCAAAUCCCCAAAAAAACGCCUCUC
Molecule: ribosomal RNA, 521 nt
Filed under: uncultured bacterium
Lineage: Bacteria
Description: bacterial SSU rRNA
Rfam family: Bacterial small subunit ribosomal RNA
Source: RNAcentral